This 561-nucleotide ribosomal RNA is filed under the name Triticum aestivum (bread wheat). Its description in RNAcentral is "partial small subunit ribosomal RNA". Lineage: Eukaryota; Viridiplantae; Streptophyta; Magnoliopsida; Poales; Poaceae. The record is from RNAcentral.
AUGGUGCCGCCACCGAUUGGGUAUAGUUCUACAAUGAUAAAUACAGCAAUGCAACAUGCAGCCACAGUCCAGUGGUCUGCCCCGCCGGCCGGUCGCGUGAAGCUCAAUGUUGACGGGUCGUUCGUUCAUACCGAUGGUGGAUUAGCAGGAGGCGGUAUGAUCUUACGUGAUAAUGACGGCAACAUUAUCUUCUCUGCUUGUCGUUCUAUCUUGCAUUGUUCCGGACCGCUCCAGGCUGAGCUGUUGGCAUGUCAGGAGGGAUUAAGCCUUGCUCUACAAUGGUCUACUCGCCCGAUAGACAUCGAGAUGGACUGCAUGGAUGCGAUCAAAUUGAUCAAGUCGCCUACCCUUGACAGAUCGCCACAUAGAAUGAUAGUUCAGGAUAUUAAGAUGCUCUUUGGUGAAAGGGAUAUCUCUAUUGCUCAUGUAAGUAGGAAUCAGAACGUUGUUAGCCACACACUUGCUGUUUUCGGACGAUCGGAGGGCCGAACUACAGUUUGGUUGCGCUCUGGACCUGCAGACGUUCCUCUGCUAUGUAGGAACGAAUAUUCCAACAGUUGA